Non-coding RNA from Paramuricea clavata, 955 nucleotides. The record is from the annotation of a GenBank genome assembly. NCBI's taxonomy places the organism in Eukaryota, Metazoa, Cnidaria, Anthozoa, Malacalcyonacea, Plexauridae.
CAAUAAAUAAAAAUAUUUCCUACGGAAAUAUGGUUUUUUAUGUCAAGCCUGAAUUAUAGUGAUAAGAUAAAAGUAGGAAAUAGUUAGAUUGGAUUGUGGCAGAUUAAGGUGGGACUUGGCGGAGAAGGAAAUUCCGGUGCUUUUACCUACGUAAGAAACAUUAAGUCAAGGCCAAAUUUUAGCUACUAAAAGCAAAGCAAAGUUAUUCACUUCUCAAUUCAACCUUUCUCGUGAUCGAGUGAAGACAUACGAAUUUUCUUUGACGUUUUGGACUUCUUUCUUUUACCUUUAUACAGGUGAGAUUUUCAAUUAUUAUUGUUCUUAUAUUAUUCUUAUAUUUUGAUACUUUUAAUUUGGGUAUUAUGGAAUUGUCACGCCCAAAAGUUCUUGUUUUUGGACACUCGUUUGUCAAACGUCUCCAUCGCGAUUUUCGCUCUAAUUUCGACGUCCGUGCGGCCAUUAGUUUUAAUAUAAAAAGGGCCUCCGUCAAAUUGCAUGGAAUUGGGGGACGCACCGUAGACAAGUUGACCGCGUUCGAUUUAGAUAAAGUUCGCUCAUUUCGGCCUGCCAUUGUAAUUUUGGAAGUGGGUAGUAAUGACCUUAGCCAUAGCAAACCCGAAGUAGUGGGUUCCAAAAUCGAUGACCUCGUUCAUCUUUUACUUCAGCUCCCUUAUGUUCAGAUAGUAGGGGUUUGCCUAAUUACACAUCGGGCAGCUUCCCCGGAGUUCAACAGGCAGGCGUUUAUUUUGAACCAAUAUUUAGAGGUCGUUCUGGACGGUGUUCCCAACGUUUUUUGCUGGAGUCAUAAGGGAUUCUUACAGCGCGUAAAAUCUCCGUUUCUACCAGACGGUGUUCAUUUCAAUCGCAGAGCGCAAUACACGCUGUAUCGCAGUUAUCGCGGUGCUAUUCUUAAAGCUUUAGCAAGCCUUCCUAGUUGUUAGUCUGUUAUCUUCGG